GCUGGAGGCCUGGGAAUCCUUCUCAGAGGUGUCAGAAGAGGAGGCUAAUGCUUCUUUUUCUCUGGCAGGGGGAGAAACAGGAAAAGGAGCUUUUGGGCUGGACAUUUUGAGGUGUCAGCCAUCCCAAGGGACACUUUGCCAAGGAGAGGCUGCCACCAUUCUGCUGCUGGGAUCCGAGAGGCUGCGGGAAGCUCCUACUCCCGGGCUGUCAAUCACAUCCUCCUGGUCACAUCUGCUCCUGGACGGGCUGUCCCCUCUUCUCAGUCCCGUCCCUGUGCAGGUGCUACACCACACACUGGCAGGGACCCUGCUGGUCAUCUCUGCCUCCUUUCUCUUCUCCCCAGAGCUGUGAGCCUGCCAGCAACUCCCAGCCAUGCGGAUCCUGCCUCUCCUCUGUGCUCUCCUCCUCCUGAUGCUCCGGGGAGCAGCAGGCAAGGAUUUGCUACCUUCCCCAUGCUUCUUGGCCCUUGCCUUUCUGAGUCAGCAGCCCUGGGCAAAGCAGCCGUGAUGGAGAGGAGGAGGAGGGAGGAAGGCAGAUCCUGCUUCCACCCUCGGAGUCCUCCCUUGUGCCAGAAGGGAUGCAGCAAACAUGUUGGAGAGCCUCUCCUGGAGGCUGAUGAGGGAUGGUAGAGAGUAUUGCCCAUCCAAGUGCCAUAAACAUCACCUUGAUUUGUACUGCAGAUGCAUUUGUGGCAGGGGACAGCUUGGCCACAUAGGGACCAGGGGCUGUGUCCAGCAUCUCAGCAAGGCUGUGCUGAAGGUCUCCUCUUUCUACCCUCUGCAGGGAAGACCCCCUCUCUCGGAUCACCCCAGGACUGUGAGCGCCGUGGGGGCUUCUGCUCUCAUGGGUCGUGCCCUCUGGGGAUCGGUCGUGUUGGCCUUUGCUCUGAGCACGAGUUCUGCUGUCGGAGCCGAUGGUACCCUUGAUGGGCUCCUGGGUUCCCGAUGCCAAUAUCCAAGCAACCCUCUGAGACCAGCCUGUGCCCUCACAGCAUGCUCGGGGCGAUGCUGCAUGGAGGCACCAAGCACCGCUGGGAGUGUCAGCAACCCUGGAUAGCUGGACCACGGUCCUGUGAGAAUUCCCUUACCCCAGCGUCCCCAAUACAAGGUGGUGGUUUGCAUUCCCGCUG
Strigops habroptila (Kakapo) is the source of this 1130-nucleotide long non-coding RNA. RefSeq lists it as uncharacterized. The transcript is spliced from 3 exons. The record is from RefSeq and is a predicted model, not a curated record. NCBI's taxonomy places the organism in Eukaryota, Metazoa, Chordata, Aves, Psittaciformes, Psittacidae.